Long non-coding RNA from Gavialis gangeticus (Gharial), 104 nucleotides. RefSeq lists it as uncharacterized. The transcript is spliced from 3 exons. Lineage: Eukaryota; Metazoa; Chordata; Crocodylia; Gavialidae. The record is from RefSeq and is a predicted model, not a curated record.
GGCCGAGCGCGGCGCGCAGGGGGCCGUCGUCUACAACUACGGCGGCACUGGCACCGUGCUGCUGCCCAUGUCGCACCCGGGGGCAGGAGGAAAUGUUGCAAGCA